Molecule: transfer RNA, 73 nt
Filed under: Sphaerodactylus townsendi
Lineage: Eukaryota; Metazoa; Chordata; Lepidosauria; Squamata; Sphaerodactylidae
Description: tRNA-Val
Source: RNAcentral
GGGGGCUGUGGCUCAGUGGUAGGUCAUCCACUUGACACGUGAGAAGUCACAGGUCCAACCCCUGGCAUCUCCG